RNAcentral lists this ribosomal RNA (390 nucleotides) under uncultured bacterium. RNAcentral's name for it is "bacterial SSU rRNA". It matches the Rfam family "Bacterial small subunit ribosomal RNA", at positions 30 to 420 of the family's 1533-position model. The record is from RNAcentral.
AUUGAACGCUGGCGGCAUGCCUUACACAUGCAAGUCGAACGGCAGCACGGGAGCAAUCCUGGUGGCGAGUGGCGAACGGGUGAGUAAUAUAUCGGAACGUGCCCAGUCGUGGGGAUAACGUAGCGAAAGCUACGCUAAUACCGCAUACGAUCUAUGGAUGAAAGCGGGGGAUCGCAAGACCUCGCGCAAUUGGAGCGGUCGAUAUCAGAUUAGGUAGUUGGUGAGGUAAAGGCUCACCAAGCCGACGAUCUGUAGCUGGUCUGAGAGGACGACCAGCCACACUGGGACUGAGACACGGCCCAGACUCCUACGGGAGGCAGCAGUGGGGAAUUUUUGGACAAUGGGCGCAAGCCUGAUCCAGCAAUGCCGCGUGCAGGAUGAAGGCCUCGG